This is a non-coding RNA of Phascolarctos cinereus (koala), 375 nucleotides long. NCBI's taxonomy places the organism in Eukaryota, Metazoa, Chordata, Mammalia, Diprotodontia, Phascolarctidae. The record is from RefSeq and is a predicted model, not a curated record.
CCAGAGUCAUGUGGGUCCAGUGGCCAGAUAUCGAUCAGGACAUGGAGAUGGCCCAGGGUGCAGUGAGGGACCUUGAUAACAGAGCUGAAGCUCAGGUUGGCACAGGGAGACACCCAGAGGCCCUUCUCACCUUCCUCCUACUCUGGGAGCAAAACCAGCCCUUCCACGGAUUCAGACUUUAAUCUACUUAUAAAACUCCUAGCAAGCCACAUCGAAACGGCCUCAGAUUGCUGGGGUACUCAACUUGAGACAUACACAACUACUCACACUGCCUCACAGCUUUCACGUGGAUGAACAUUCAUCUAUGGGCAAAGAGAGAAUAAAGUCUGUGAAUCAUACCACUCAUCACAAUGAACGUCCUAAGCCUUCAUCCUA